CCUUGUCGGGUAAGUUCCGACCCGCACGAAAGGCGUAACGAUUUGGGCACUGUCUCAACAACAGACUCGGUGAAAUUGUAAUUCCGGUGACGAUGCCGGAUACCUGCGACAGGACGGAAAGACCCCAUGGAGCUUUACUGUAGCUUGACAUUGGGUCUUGGUACUACAUGUACAGGAUAGGUGGGAGGCUUUGAAACCAGGACGCCAGUUUUGGCGGAGCCAUCCUUGGGAUA
Molecule: ribosomal RNA, 233 nt
Filed under: Clostridioides difficile
Lineage: Bacteria; Bacillati; Bacillota; Clostridia; Peptostreptococcales; Peptostreptococcaceae
Description: partial 23S ribosomal RNA
Rfam family: Bacterial large subunit ribosomal RNA
Source: RNAcentral